GACGAACGCUGGCGGCGUGCUUAACACAUGCAAGUCGAACGGAAAGGCCCUGCUUUUGUGGGGUGCUCGAGUGGCGAACGGGUGAGUAACACGUGAGUAACCUGCCCUUGACUUUGGGAUAACUUCAGGAAACUGGGGCUAAUACCGGAUAGGAGCUCCUGCUGCAUGGUGGGGGUUGGAAAGUUUCGGCGGUUGGGGAUGGACUCGCGGCUUAUCAGCUUGUUGGUGGGGUAGUGGCUUACCAAGGCUUUGACGGGUAGCCGGCCUGAGAGGGUGACCGGCCACAUUGGGACUGAGAUACGGCCCAGACUCCUACGGGAGGCAGCAGUGGGGAAUAUUGCACAAUGGGCGGAAGCCUGAUGCAGCAACGCCGCGUGCGGGAUGACAGCCUUCGGGUUGUAAACCGAUUUCGCCUGUGACGAAGCGUGAGUGACGGUAAUGGGUAAAGAAGCACCGGCUAACUACGUG
This 468-nucleotide ribosomal RNA is filed under the name uncultured bacterium. Its description in RNAcentral is "partial 16S ribosomal RNA". It matches the Rfam family "Bacterial small subunit ribosomal RNA", at positions 28 to 507 of the family's 1533-position model. The record is from RNAcentral.